Molecule: long non-coding RNA, 1385 nt
Organism: Microtus ochrogaster (prairie vole)
Lineage: Eukaryota; Metazoa; Chordata; Mammalia; Rodentia; Cricetidae
Gene: Klc1
Exons: 2
Source: RefSeq, a predicted model, not a curated record
UGCCUGCCUCUGACUCCUGAACUCUGGAAUUAAAGACAUGUGCCACCAGGCUUGACUUUCACAGUUUUAAUUACUAAAUUCUUAUUGAAGGUUAUUAGGAAAUGAGGUAACUGUUAAUUCAGAGUAGAUCUUUAUUUAUGAAAAGUUAUGCUAAGGAGGCAACUAGAAUAUACUAAAAGAAGUUAUAGAAGUACCCUCUCUACAGUUCUACUGCACAGAGGUAAUACUAAAGUCAGCGUCUUCGGUGACUUAUCUGAGAGCUUGCAAAAUCGCUCAGUGGGUAAAGACACUUGCCACUCAAGUGACCUGAAUUUAAUCCUCAGGACUAACAUGGUGGAGAAGUUAUCCUCUGAACUCCAUACAUGCACUUUACAUGUGAGUGUACACACACACACACACAAUAAGUGCGAUCUUAAAAAGGGUUUAUGCAAUAUGAAUGUCUUGUAGUUGCAUAGAGUGUCAGAAUAGAGUGGUCCUCCGAGUCCUGAGCUAUGCUCAGGGGUAUCUGUCUGCUUGAGUUUUACCCAGCCUAGACAUGCCUGCUACUUCAGCGAACAGGUGGAGUGGCUGAGAAAGAGUUCACUGUCAUCCAUUUGAACCCAGGGAGGUGGCCAGCAUCUUUCGAUGGGGUACAGACCACGAGGGCAGGAGGAUCAUGCUGUGUGGGAACAUGUAAUAUUUAGCAUCCUUCUCAGGACAGACAGUGGGAACUGAUGUUUUCUUGUCCCCUGGCAUUCAUGAGGCAUUGGUAACAAGUUUUAUUUUUCCAUUUUAAAGAUGAGAAAGAUGAAGCUCGGGCUGGUUAAAUGAGUUGCUCAGCGUCCCAUGGCCUAGCCACCUGCCCGGUGCCUCCCACACUGCUCCUGCAUGACGGGCAGCGCCUCCUCCAGCCCCUCCAGUGCUGCCCGCUGUGUCUAGCAGCCCCUAGGAGCUUGUCAGCCGCACCUCUGGGACUGGCCAUUCCUUUCGGUGCUGCUGUCCUUUUGGGGUCUUGAUUUCUGGAUACAUGUAGCUUUGCCAGAUAUGUACUUAGAGAUAUCAGCUGUGUUAAUAAACCCAUUUACUGUGUAACACGCAAGUUUAACAGUUAAGAGAGAGUAGUUGUCCACCCAUGACAGGUGUUAAUGUCACCCAGGUAUUACAGUGGCAUGAUAGUGACCUGUGCAGUCACUGAGCUGUAGGAGCAAGGCAUGUGCCGCACGUCCCUGUCGCACUUACAGACCUGGCCAGUGUCCUGCACAGGCCUCCCAGGACACACUGAAGUAGAUUGCUCUGUAGUCUUGGUGUGGAAUUUUGGCAUUUCUGCUUCUCUCUACUAAUCUUAAAGUGCUCUGUGAUGUGUGUAUUUGUGUCUUUCUAACUUCUAAUAAACUCACUCCAACUGA